Molecule: transfer RNA, 71 nt
Filed under: Loxodonta africana (African savanna elephant)
Lineage: Eukaryota; Metazoa; Chordata; Mammalia; Proboscidea; Elephantidae
Rfam family: tRNA
About the family: Transfer RNA (tRNA) molecules are approximately 80 nucleotides in length. Their secondary structure includes four short double-helical elements and three loops (D, anti-codon, and T loops).
Source: Rfam by way of RNAcentral
GCACUGGUAGUUCAGUGGUAGAAUUCUCGCCUUCCGUGCAGGAGACCCCGGUUUGACUCCCAGCCGGUGCA